CAGUCGCCGCGGAAUACGUAGGUGGCAAGCGUUGUCCGGAAUUAUUGGGCGUAAAGGGCUCGCAGGCGGUUUCUUAAGUCUGAUGUGAAAGCCCCCGGCUCAACCGGGGAGGGUCAUUGGAAACUGGGAAACUUGAGUGCAGAAGAGGAGUGUGGAAUUCCACGUGUAGCGGUGAAAUGCGUAGAGAUGUGGAGGAACACCAGUGGCGAAGGCGACUCUCUGGUCUGUAACUGACGCUGAGGAGCGAAAGCGUGGGGAGCGAACAGGAUUAGAUACCCGAGUAGUCCCUGUCUCUUAUACA
Molecule: ribosomal RNA, 301 nt
Filed under: uncultured bacterium
Lineage: Bacteria
Description: partial 16S ribosomal RNA
Rfam family: Bacterial small subunit ribosomal RNA
Source: RNAcentral